UCCGACUUAACGUCGGCAGUCUCUUUAGAGUGCCCAACUUAAUGCUGGCAACUAAAGACAGGGGUUGCGCUCGUUAUGGGACUUAACCCGACAUCUCACGACACGAGCUGACGACAGCCAUGCAGCACCUACUAAGCAGUCCCGAAGGACGUUAAUAUCUCUACUAACUUCUCCUUAGAUUCGAGUCCAGGUAAGGUUUUUCGCGUUGCAUCGAAUUGAACCACAUGCUCCACCGCUUGUGCGGGCCCCCGUCAAUUUCUUUGAGUUUUAAUCUUGCGACCGUACUUCCCAGGCGGGAUACUUAACGCGUUAGCUUCGUCACUGAAGGGGUCAAUACCUCCAACAACAAGUAUCCAUCGUUUACGGCGUGGACUAC
Molecule: unclassified non-coding RNA, 376 nt
Filed under: uncultured Pseudobdellovibrionaceae bacterium
Lineage: Bacteria; Pseudomonadati; Bdellovibrionota; Bdellovibrionia; Bdellovibrionales; Pseudobdellovibrionaceae
Description: uncultured Bdellovibrionaceae bacterium contains 16S-23S intergenic spacer region
Source: RNAcentral